UGCAGUUCUCAGGUGACGCACCCCGGAAUUGGUUCCCUCCUCUCUGGUUCCUGGUGCGUCACCUGAGAGCCUCA
This is a non-coding RNA of Myotis brandtii (Brandt's bat), 74 nucleotides long. Lineage: Eukaryota; Metazoa; Chordata; Mammalia; Chiroptera; Vespertilionidae. The record is from Rfam.